GUAGGGAAUCUUCCACAAUGGGCGCAAGCCUGAUGGAGCAACACCGCGUGAGUGAAGAAGGGUUUCGGCUCGUAAAGCUCUGUUGUUAAAGAAGAACACGUAUGAGAGUAACUGUUCAUGCGUUGACGGUAUUUAACCAGAAAGUCACGGCUAACUACGUGCCAGCAGCCGCGGGAAUACGGAGGUGGCAAGCGUUAUCCGGAUUUAUUGGGCGUAAAGAGAGUGCAGGCGGUUUUCUAAGUCUGAUGUGAAAGCCUUCGGCUUAACCGGAGAAGUGCAUCGGAAACUGGAUAACUUGAGUGCAGAAGAGGGUAGUGGAACUCCAUGUGUAGCGGUGGAAUGCGUAGAUAUAUGGAAGAACACCAGUGGCGAAGGCGGCUACCUGGUCUGCAACUGACGCUGAGACUCGAAAGCAUGGGUAGCGAACAGGAUUAGAUACCCCGGUAGUCC
RNAcentral lists this ribosomal RNA (450 nucleotides) under uncultured bacterium. RNAcentral describes it as "partial 16S ribosomal RNA". It matches the Rfam family "Bacterial small subunit ribosomal RNA", at positions 354 to 796 of the family's 1533-position model. The record is from RNAcentral.